Non-coding RNA from Jaculus jaculus (lesser Egyptian jerboa), 135 nucleotides. Lineage: Eukaryota; Metazoa; Chordata; Mammalia; Rodentia; Dipodidae. The record is from Ensembl.
UUGUCCUGGCCUGUGCCUUUUCUGUUCCCAUUUGCUCUAAUGAGGUACUCUGUCAGGACACAUAGCAAUUUAUCUCUCAGUGUAGGAUAAUUAUCCUAAGAAUAGGACUGGCUUUUAAAGGCACAAGAGGACAAU